RNAcentral lists this ribosomal RNA (309 nucleotides) under uncultured bacterium. Its description in RNAcentral is "bacterial SSU rRNA". It matches the Rfam family "Bacterial small subunit ribosomal RNA", at positions 30 to 332 of the family's 1533-position model. The record is from RNAcentral.
AUUGAACGCUGGCGGCGUGCUUAACACAUGCAAGUCGUGCGGUAACAGGCGUAGCAAUACGUGCUGACGAGCGGCGAACGGGUGCGUAAUACAUGGGAAUCUGCCCUUUAGUGGGGAAUAACCCGGCGAAAGCCGGGCUAAUGCCGCAUAAGAUCUUCGGAUGAAAGCGGGGGAGUCGUAAGACCUCGCGCUGAUGGAUGAGCCACUGUCGGAUUAGUCAGUUGGUGAGGUAACGGCGUCACCAAGGACGACGAUCCGUAGCUGGUCUGAGAGGACGGCCGAGCCACACUGGGACGUGAGACACGGCCC